This is a long non-coding RNA of Cavia porcellus (domestic guinea pig), 1184 nucleotides long. RefSeq lists it as uncharacterized. The record is from RefSeq and is a predicted model, not a curated record. The transcript has 3 exons. Lineage: Eukaryota; Metazoa; Chordata; Mammalia; Rodentia; Caviidae.
CCGGGUCUUUGGACAGAAGCCACAGUGGGGUCUGCUGUCCACCGUCCACCCGCAGGCAGCGUCUCCCUGGCCUCCGCUUCUCCUCGAAGCAUGGCUUCUGUUCCCAAGGACCUCGCCGCCCCUCCCCAGCUGCCUGCCCUGUGCUUUAUCUUCUAGUUCUUUCCUCCUGCUGGGCCAGGCUCCGAGUUCCCAGCUGGGACACUCAGCGUGGACACCGGAUGUCUGCCUGGGCUUCAUGAGUUAAGGUGACCCAUCCAGCCCCUCUGAGGGGUGACGUCCUGGGCUACCUGGUGAGCAUUCAGCAGAUCCCGGGGUGGAGCAGGUCAGCCCUGUAGCAUCAAGAGCGGGAACCUGCUGUCGGCCACAACAAACAGCACUGCCUCGUGGUCACUGUCCCUUCCUCCUUACUCAGGCGGGGCUGGCGCCCCGAGAGCCUCCCCACAAGCACACACAGCAAUACUCCUUGCAACCGUGGAACAGAGCAGCUGCAGAACCCAGAGAGGCUCACAGCUGCCAAACCGAAUGGAGGUGCCUGAGUAGGACCCUCCCCAAAUGUACCGCGCCCCCUGCAGCUUCUGUGGCACCCAAUUUGCACCCGCUCCUGCGGUGUCUUUGUGCCGUGUAAUCGUCCUCAUGUUCUAUGUAAGAAGGUUGUGAUUAUGUAGGGUUGUUUUCCUUAUCUUUACUCAGAAUGUUAGUUCGGAAUAGAAGGCGUCAUUUUGUUCUUGUCGUAAUGGUUUAUUACAGAGGUAUUUCUUUUGAAAUGUCGCAGAAAUGUUCCUGGCUCUGUGUUAGUUUGAUGACAUCCAAUUUUCAGGGCAUCAUUAUCGCUCCUCCUAGAUUCCUUUACCUUCCAUGGGCUCUACAGACUCACCGCCUCGAUAUUUCUAGGAUUGACAUUCAUCCACUGUGUACACAACACCAAUGUUCCGGAUAGAAUGCCGAUAUUGUAUCUCAGUCACUGAACAUUACACUUCAAUUAAUCUGGGGUAAGACAUUGAUCUAUUUUUGCGGACUGGGAAUAUCACGCCAACCCAUUACAAAGAGCUUCUACGGUGAACUUAAAUGCAAAUGAAACAUACAGAUUUAUAAAAAUACAUUAGCUGAUAUUAAUCUACCCUGAUCAUGAAAUGUUAGCUGAAAAUAAAACCUCAAGCCAUCUGGUCUCUGUGAUGCUUACAUAA